RNAcentral lists this ribosomal RNA (466 nucleotides) under uncultured bacterium. RNAcentral's name for it is "partial 16S ribosomal RNA". It matches the Rfam family "Bacterial small subunit ribosomal RNA", at positions 28 to 507 of the family's 1533-position model. The record is from RNAcentral.
GAUGAACGCUGGCGGCGUGCUUAACACAUGCAAGUCGAACGAUGAAGCCCAGCUUGUUGGGUGGAUUAGUGGCGAACGGGUGAGUAACACGUGAGUAACCUGCCCUUAACUCUGGGAUAAGCCUGGGAAACUGGGUCUAAUACCGGAUAGGAGCGUCCACCGCAUGGUGGGUGUUGGAAAGAUUUAUCGGUUUUGGAUGGACUCGCGGCCUAUCAGCUUGUUGGUGAGGUAAUGGCUCACCAAGGCGACGACGGGUAGCCGGCCUGAGAGGGUGACCGGCCACACUGGGACUGAGACACGGCCCAGACUCCUACGGGAGGCAGCAGUGGGGAAUAUUGCACAAUGGGCGAAAGCCUGAUGCAGCGACGCCGCGUGAGGGAUGACGGCCUUCGGGUUGUAAACCUCUUUCAGUAGGGAAGAAGCGAAAGUGACGGUACCUGCAGAAGAAGCACCGGCUAACUACGUG